GACGGAGGGGGCAAGCGUUGUUCGGAAUUACUGGGCGUAAAGGGCGCGUAGGCGGUCCCUCAAGUCAGGCGUGAAAGCUCCGGGCUCAACCUGGGAACCGCGCUUGAGACUGAGGGGCUCGAGGUCGGGAGAGGUGAGUGGAAUUCCCAGUGGAGAGGUGAAAUUCGUAGAGAUUGGGAAGAACACCGGUGGCGAAGGCGGCUCACUGGACCGACACUGACGCUGAGGCGCGACAGCGUGGGGAGCAAACAGG
RNAcentral lists this ribosomal RNA (253 nucleotides) under uncultured bacterium. RNAcentral's name for it is "partial 16S ribosomal RNA". It matches the Rfam family "Bacterial small subunit ribosomal RNA", at positions 524 to 776 of the family's 1533-position model. The record is from RNAcentral.